RNAcentral lists this ribosomal RNA (353 nucleotides) under uncultured Gigaspora. RNAcentral describes it as "SSU rRNA". It matches the Rfam family "Eukaryotic small subunit ribosomal RNA", at positions 569 to 929 of the family's 1831-position model. The record is from RNAcentral. Lineage: Eukaryota; Fungi; Glomeromycota; Glomeromycetes; Diversisporales; Gigasporaceae.
AGCAGCCUCGGUAAUUCCAGCUCCAAUAGCGUAUAUUAAAGUUGUUGCAGUUAAAAAGCUCGUAGUUGAAUUUCGGGGUUCUACCAUUGGUCGGGCAAUAGUCUGUACUGGUGUGUAGAAUUUCUACCUUCUGGGGAACUAUCAUGUUAUUUAUUUAGCGUGGUAGGAAACCAGGACCUUUACCUUGAAAAAAUUAGAGUGUUCAAAGCAGGCUUAUGUCUGAAUACAUUAGCAUGGAAUAAUAAAAUAGGACGGUGGUCCUGUUUUGUUGGUUUCUGAAUCACCGUAAUGAUUAAUAGGGAUAGUUGGGGGCAUUAGUAUUCAAUUGUCAGAGGUGAAAUUCUUGGAUUUAU